Gasterosteus aculeatus aculeatus (three-spined stickleback) is the source of this 962-nucleotide long non-coding RNA. Lineage: Eukaryota; Metazoa; Chordata; Actinopteri; Perciformes; Gasterosteidae. The record is from Ensembl.
CAAAUUGAGUGUUUCACCUUCUGUUUUCAAUGUUUGGUCAUACAGAGUUGUAUUGGUCGACUGAGAAGCACUGAUGUAGUGUGACGUUCAACUCGCUGUCUAAAAGAGAAAACUGUUGCAUGAUUUUAAACUUGCAAGGCGUGCAGAUCAUCUACUUUUUUUGAUGUCUUUUAGGAAAUUUGAAACCUAGAUUUACCCCAGAAUUUAAUUAUUAGUAAAACUUUUUCCAGAUUUAAGUUUAGUGAUUGUCACUCUGCUUGUCGAGUCCUACAUCCGAAGUACACAACUAAUAUAUUGCUGACUGUUUCAACUGGAAACUAGAUAUUAGUUGUAAGCUGAGACUCGUGGUUUAAGCCCAAUGGGAUAUCUGUUGUAAGCUGCUUGGUCGGACAUCUAGAUACGGAGAACUGCGUAAUUGUACAGAUGAAAAACACGUUUGUAUAAAAAAAAAAACUAUUUUUUUACUUCAUCAGAUCUUUACAUGCAUGUCAGCAAUAAACUUUGAUAUGGAAACAUUCCUCUUCGUCUUCAUGCUCUGACACUUCCUCUCGCUUCCAGCAGAUGGAGCCCUUCCUUCAAAGAUGAACCGGAGAGCAGCAGUUUCACUGGCUGUCAUGGCCACAGGUCUCAAAACAGAGCGCGGUCCCCAGAUGUGCUACAAGGAGGAAAAACAUCUGCUAAAGGGAGACGUCCUGGGACGUCCGUGCAUUCUGUCUCCGGCCCGUUUGCAUUUGAGGUGCUACAGAAGGGUUGUGAGUCCCCCGUCUCCUCUUCCCUCCGAUGCCACCGAACGUCUCCCUCCGUCUUUCAUCACCUCCUCGAGUCGCAAGGUCACAAGAAGGAGCCAUGUGCCUUUUUUUCUCGAACUGUCCUCUAACUCUCUAACAUCUGGCCCGAGAGGGAGGAGGGUGACCCUGUCAAUGGGAGCCCUUGUCCCCCCUCCGACCCCCCCCCCCCUCCCG